UACGUAGGUGGCGAACGUUAUCCGGAAUUACUGGGCGUAAAGGGUCCGCAGGCGGAUGAGAAGGUCUGGCGUGAAAGCUCCUGGCUUAACUAGGAGAAGCCGCUGGAAACCGCUCGUCUAGUAUCAUGCAGAGGUCGGUGGAAUUCCCGGUGUAGUGGUGGAAUGCGUAGAGAUCGGGAGGAACCUCGAAAGCGAAGGCAACCGGCUAGGCAGUGAUAGACGCUGAGGGACGAAAGCGUGGGGAGCGAACAGG
This 253-nucleotide unclassified non-coding RNA is filed under the name uncultured Anaerolineae bacterium. RNAcentral's name for it is "contains 16S-23S intergenic spacer region". It matches the Rfam family "Bacterial small subunit ribosomal RNA", at positions 524 to 776 of the family's 1533-position model. The record is from RNAcentral. Lineage: Bacteria; Bacillati; Chloroflexota; Anaerolineae.